RNAcentral lists this ribosomal RNA (460 nucleotides) under uncultured bacterium. RNAcentral's name for it is "partial 16S ribosomal RNA". It matches the Rfam family "Bacterial small subunit ribosomal RNA", at positions 338 to 795 of the family's 1533-position model. The record is from RNAcentral.
CCUACGGGAGGCAGCAGUGAGGAAUAUUGGUCAAUGGGCGGAAGCCUGAACCAGCCAAGUCGCGUGAGGGAAUAAGGCCCUACGGGUCGUAAACCUCUUUUGCCGGGGAGCAAGGGCCGGGACGAGUCCCGUUCCGGAGAGUACCCGGAGAAAAAGCAUCGGCUAACUCCGUGCCAGCAGCCGCGGUAAUACGGAGGAUGCGAGCGUUAUCCGGAUUUAUUGGGUUAAAAGGGUGCGUAGGCGGGCGUUUAAGUCAGCGGUAAAAAUUCGGGGCUCAACCCCGUCCGGCCGUUGAAACUGGGGGGCUUGAGUGGGCGAGAAGAAGGCGGAAUGCGUGGUGUAGCGGUGAAAUGCAUAGAUAUCACGCAGAACCCCGAUUGCGAAGGCAGCCUGCCGGAGCCCGACUGACGCUGAGGCACGAAAGUGCGGGGAUCGAACAGGAUUAGAUACCCCUGUAGUC